ACGGGAGGCAGCAGUAGGGAAUUUUCGGCAAUGGGCGGAAGCCUGACCGAGCAACGCCGCGUGAGGGAAGAAGGUCUUCGGAUUGUAAACCUCUGUUGUACAGGAAGAAUAUGUCUUAUAGGGAAUGAUAAGAUAAUGACGGUACUGUACGAGGAAGCCACGGCUAACUACGUGCCAGCAGCCGCGGUAAUACGUAGGUGGCGAGCGUUAUCCGGAAUUAUUGGGCGUAAAGAGGGAGCAGGCGGCAGCUAGGGUCCGAGGUAAAAGCCUGAAGCUCAACUUCAGCGAGCCUUGGAAACCGAGCAGCUAGAGGCCAGUAGAGGAAUGCGGAAUUCCAUGUGUAGCGGUGAAAUGCGUAGAUAUAUGGAGGAACACCGGUGGCGAAGGCGGCAUUCUGGGCUGGAACUGACGCUCAUUCCCGAAAGCGUGGGGAGCAAAUAGGAUUAGAUACCCUGGUA
Molecule: ribosomal RNA, 458 nt
Filed under: uncultured Erysipelotrichaceae bacterium
Lineage: Bacteria; Bacillati; Bacillota; Erysipelotrichia; Erysipelotrichales; Erysipelotrichaceae
Description: partial 16S ribosomal RNA
Rfam family: Bacterial small subunit ribosomal RNA
Source: RNAcentral